UACACUCCUACGGGAGGCAGCAGUGGGGAAUAUUGGACAAUGGGCGCAAGCCUGAUCCAGCCAUGCCGCGUGAGUGAUGAAGGCCCUAGGGUUGUAAAGCUCUUUCACCGGUGAAGAUAAUGACGGUAACCGGAGAAGAAGCCCCGGCUAACUUCGUGCCAGCAGCCGCGGUAAUACGAAGGGGGCUAGCGUUGUUCGGAUUUACUGGGCGUAAAGCGCACGUAGGCGGACUAUUAAGUCAGGGGUGAAAUCCCGGGGCUCAACCCCGGAACUGCCUUUGAUACUGGUAGUCUUGAGUUCGAGAGAGGUGAGUGGAAUUCCGAGUGUAGAGGUGAAAUUCGUAGAUAUUCGGAGGAACACCAGUGGCGAAGGCGGCUCACUGGCUCGAUACUGACGCUGAGGUGCGAAAGCGUGGGGAGCAAACAGGAUUAGAUACCCGGGUAGUCCCAUG
RNAcentral lists this ribosomal RNA (451 nucleotides) under uncultured organism. RNAcentral's name for it is "partial 16S ribosomal RNA". It matches the Rfam family "Bacterial small subunit ribosomal RNA", at positions 332 to 799 of the family's 1533-position model. The record is from RNAcentral.